This is a long non-coding RNA of Bactrocera oleae (olive fruit fly), 953 nucleotides long. RefSeq lists it as uncharacterized. NCBI's taxonomy places the organism in Eukaryota, Metazoa, Arthropoda, Insecta, Diptera, Tephritidae. The record is from RefSeq and is a predicted model, not a curated record.
GAGUUGAGAAGAAGAAGCACAGAAAAGCAUACAAGUUGUAAACAAAAACGGAUCAUUUUGUGGAUGACGAAUGGAACCUCAACCAAUUUGAAAUGGGAUUUGCGAAAAGACUUAAGCUGAAGCGCGGGGUGGUACCCACAAUUCAGGUUCGGUAUUACACUAAAUAUAAUUAUACAUAUAUAAUUAUUGUAACAACUUUCGUUGUUGAUUUACGUGAGUACCUGCCGGCGACGGCCUUACCUCACGGUGCUCCAAAGCACAACGUAAAUUAUUGUAACAAUAUAUUUUCACGAUUGGUUCGACGUGAUGAAUGUAAGAGUAUCACGUUUAGAUUCCCGAGAGCGUUGUCAUGCCUAUGGACUCGCUAUUGCUGUACAAAGUUUUAUUAUUGACGAAAUGACGGAAAUGAUAACAAAUCCUUUUUUUGGAAUUAUACGCGCUAAGGAUGGCCUACAUGAUCACCCAGAUCAACAAGAGUUUAAAUACCGCCUUAGAUCAUAUGCAAUAGGAUGAAAUGAAGGCGUUAUAUCAAAUGCGGCUAAUGUGGAAGUCGAUGAUACGCCCGUCUCGCAGCCAUCUUUCACUGGUAAUUUCUAAAUAAAAGUAUUAUUAAUAGUAUUUAGAAAAACAUUACAAUAUGUUUUUAAUUUUAUCAAUGGCGACGGUUUGCUUAUUUGUGAAAAAUAUUUGUAAAAACAUAAGGAGGAAACAUCUAGAACCGAUUGCAGCAAUAAAGUAAAAAAUUGUUCUUCCGGGUUAGAAUGUUUUUUAAAAUAAGGAAGUUAAACAAAGAAUUUGAAGAUCCAUCCACAAAAGGAAACGUAAAUUUAAUAAAAUAGUUUUAGUAGUAUAGAUUUAAUAAUUUUAUUUUCAUAUUUAUAUAAAAACUAUUACUUAUGUAAGAAUAACAAUUAAGAAUAUAUUUAUGUACAAUAAAAGAAAGCAGAUACACC